UUGACGGUACCCUACUAGAAAGGAGCCGCUAACUUCGUGCCAGAAGCGUCGGUAAUACGGGGGCUCCAAGCGUUAUCCGGUGUUAUUGGGCGUAAAGAGUCGUGUAGGUGGUUGGGUAAGUUAUCUUUCAAAUAUCUUUGCUUAACAAAGAGGAGGGGGAUAAUACUGCUCGACUAGAAUUUUCUCAAGGGAGAUCGGAACUGAGGGAGGAGUAGUGAAAUGCGUUGAUACCCUCGGGAACACCAGUGGCGUAGGCGGAUCUCUGGGAGAAGAUUGGCACUGAGACACGAAAGCUAGGGGAGCGAAGCAGAUUAGAGACCUGCGUAGUCCUAGCCGUAAACGCAUGCUUGCUAGCUGCAUGAAUCUACCUUCGGGUGGUAUCGUGUGGCGAAGGUAACCCGUUAAGCAAGCCGCCUGGAAAGUACGGCCGCAAGGCUGAAAUUCAAAGGAAUUGGCGGGGAGGCACACAACCAGUGGAACAUGUGGUUUAAUUCGAGACUAACCGAAGAACCUCACCAGGGUUUGACAUGUAGCUGCACGUCUUAAGAAAUUAAGACUCUCUUGAAGGUGCUACACAGGUGCUGCAUGGCUGUCGUCAGCUCGUUCCGUGAGGAGUGCCCUUAAGUGGGACAACGAGCGCAACCCCUAUUACAUGUUAGAAAUGUCAUGUAAGACUGCCUUGCCAUUUGGCGGGGAGGAAGGAGGGGCAGACGUCAAGUCCGCAUGGUCCUUAUGCCCUGGGCUACACACAUGUUACAAUGAGUACGGCAAUGAGUCUGUCGCGAGCACGUAAGUGUAAGCUAAUCUCUUAAAUGUACUCUCAGUGGGGAUUGAGGUCUGCAACUCGACCUCAUGAACACGGAAUUGGUAGUAAUCGCGGGUCAGCUAUACCGCGGUGAUACGUUCUUGCCUCUUGCACACACCGCCCGUCAAACCAGCAAAGU
This 944-nucleotide ribosomal RNA is filed under the name uncultured organism. Its description in RNAcentral is "bacterial SSU rRNA". It matches the Rfam family "Bacterial small subunit ribosomal RNA", at positions 469 to 1411 of the family's 1533-position model. The record is from RNAcentral.